GAUGAAGAACGUAGCGAAAUGCGAUAAGUAGUGUGAAUUGCAGAAUUCCGUGAAUCAUCGAAUCUUUGAACGCACAUUGCGCCCCCUGGCAUUCCUAGAGGCAUGCCUGUUCGAGCGUCAUUAACAACCAUCAAGCGGGACCUGUCUGCCUCGCUUGGCCAUGGGGGAUGGCCGCCCUCGGGGCGCCCACCCCCGAAAUACAACGGCGGACAGCCACCACGGGGCACCCGGGCGUAGUAAGUUGCUCUCUCGCCCGCGCCCACGGAAUGGACUGUCCGGCCGGUCGAACCCCCAACAUCCAAUGGUUGACCUCGGAUCAGGUAGGGAUACCCGCUGAACUUAAGCAUAUCAAUAAGCGGAGGA
Molecule: unclassified non-coding RNA, 363 nt
Filed under: soil metagenome
Description: partial contains 5.8S ribosomal RNA, internal transcribed spacer 2, and large subunit ribosomal RNA
Rfam family: 5.8S ribosomal RNA (bases 1-120)
Source: RNAcentral